AGAGUUUGAUCAUGGCUCAGGACGAACGCUGGCGGCGUGGAUUAGGCAUGCAAGUCGAACGGUAGAUAUCCUUCGGGAUAUUGAGAGUGGCGAACGGGUGAGUAACACGUAGAUGAUCUACCCUCAAAUGGGGGACAACCCAGGGAAACUUGGGCUAAUACCGCAUGAGUGCAGCGCAUAAAGCAUCUUUAGGUGGGUGUUUUAUGCGUUGCAUAAAAGGUGGCCUUCGGGCUGUCGUUUGAGGAUGAGUCUGCGUCCUAUUAGUUAGUUGGUGAGGUAAUGGCUCACCAAGGCGAUGAUAGGUAGGCGGCCUUAACGGGUGGCCGCCCACACUGGGAUUGAGAUACGGCCCAGACUCCUACGGGAGGCAGCAGUCGAGAAUAGUCUACAAUGGACGAAAGUCUGAUAGUGCGACGCCGCGUGAACGAAGAAUCCCUUCGGGGUGUAAAGUUCUUUUAUAUGUGAGCAAUGCUUUUUAUGUGAAUAGCAUGAGAAGAGAGAUAUUAGCAUAUGAAUAAGCAACGGCUAACUCCGUGCCAGCAGCCGCGGUAACACGGGGGUUGCAAGCGUUGUCCGGAAUUACUAGGCGUAAAGGGCAGGUAGGCGGAUCUAUAAGUUUGAUGUUAAAGGCAGCGGCUCACCCGCUGUACGGCGUCGGAUACUGUAGAUCUGGAAUGCGGUUGGGGAAGACAGAAUUCCUGGUGUAGCGGUGGAAUGCGCAGAGAUCAGGAGGAAUACCAAAGGCGAAGGCAGUCUUCUAAGCCGUUAUUGACGCUAAACUGCGAAGGUGUGGGUAUCAAACAGGAUUAGAUACCCUGGUAGUCCACACAGUAAACGAUAAUCACUA
This 847-nucleotide ribosomal RNA is filed under the name uncultured bacterium. RNAcentral describes it as "bacterial SSU rRNA". It matches the Rfam family "Bacterial small subunit ribosomal RNA", at positions 8 to 818 of the family's 1533-position model. The record is from RNAcentral.